CUUCGGUCCCAAGUUCCUUGGAACAGGGCGUCCCAGAGGGUGAGAAUCCCGUACGCGGUCGAAGAUCAAGCCCGUGCGAAGCCCUUUCGACGAGUCGAGUUGUUUGGGAAUGCAGCUCCAAACGGGUGGUAAAUUUCAUCUAAAGCUAAAUAUUUGCCGGAGACCGAUAGCGCACAAGUAGAGUGAUCGAAAGAUGAAAAGAACUUUGAAAAGAGAGUCAAAAAGUACGUGAAAUUGUUAAAAGGGAAGCGCUUGCAACCAGACUCGUUCGCGGGUGUUCAGCCGUUCCUCGGGACGGUGCAUUCCCCCGCGAGCGGGCCAGCAUCGGUUUCGGCGGCUGGAUAAAAACCUCGGGAAUGUAGCUUUUUUCGGAAAGUGUUAAGCCCGGGGCGUAAUACAGCCAGCCGGGACCGAGGAUCGCGCAUUCGCAAGGAUGCNGGCGNAANGGUUGCCAGCGACCCGUCUUGAAACACGGACCAAGGAGUCGACCAANCGAGCAAGUGUUUGGGUGUCAAACCCCGGCGCGAAAUGAAAGUGAACGGAGGUGAGAGCCUUCGGGUGCAUCAUCGACCGAUCCUGAUGUCUUCGGAUGGAUUUGAGUACGAGCUUGGCUGGUCGGACCCGAAAGAUGGUGAACUAUACGUGAAUAGGGUGAAGCCAGAGGAAACUCUGGUGGAGGCUCGCAGCGGUUCUGACGUGCAAAUCGAUCGUCAAAUUUGCGUAUAGGGGCGAAAGACUAAUCGAACCUUCUAGUAGCUGGUUCCUGUCGAAGUUUCCCUCAGGAUAGCAGCAGCGGAAAACAGUCUCAUGAGGUAGAGCAACGAUUAGAGGCCUUGGGGUUGUAACAACCUUAACCUAUUCUCGAACUUCGAAUAUGUGAGAAGUCCUUGUUACUUAAUUGAACGGGGACAUUGGAUUGCCGGCAGCCC
RNAcentral lists this ribosomal RNA (929 nucleotides) under Myriotrema microporum. RNAcentral describes it as "eukaryotic LSU rRNA". It matches the Rfam family "Eukaryotic large subunit ribosomal RNA", at positions 174 to 1125 of the family's 3401-position model. Lineage: Eukaryota; Fungi; Ascomycota; Lecanoromycetes; Ostropales; Graphidaceae. The record is from RNAcentral.